CCUACGGGUGGCAGCAGUGGGGAAUAUUGGGCAAUGGGCGCAAGCCUGACCCAGCAACGCCGCGUGAAGGAAGAAGGCUUUCGGGUUGUAAACUUCUUUUCUCAGGGACGAAGCAAGUGACGGUACCUGAGGAAUAAGCCACGGCUAACUACGUGGCAGCAGCCGCGGUAAGUCGUAGGGGGCAAGCGUUAUCCGGAUGUAAUGGGUGUAAAGGGCGUGUAGGCGGGACUGCAAGUCAGAUGUGAAAGCCACGGGCUCAAACUGUGGUCUGCAUUUGAAACUGUAGUUCUUGAGUACUUGGGAGGCAGACGGAAUUCCUAGUGUAGCGGUGAAAUGCGUAGAUAUUAGGAGGAACACCAGUGGCGAAGGCGGUCUGCUGGACAGCAACUGACGCUGAGGCGCGAAAGCGUGGGGAGCAAACAGGAUUAGAUACCCCAGUAGUC
RNAcentral lists this ribosomal RNA (443 nucleotides) under uncultured bacterium. RNAcentral describes it as "partial 16S ribosomal RNA". It matches the Rfam family "Bacterial small subunit ribosomal RNA", at positions 338 to 795 of the family's 1533-position model. The record is from RNAcentral.